RNAcentral lists this transfer RNA (73 nucleotides) under Anomaloglossus praderioi. Its description in RNAcentral is "tRNA-Asn". It matches the Rfam family "tRNA". From Rfam's summary of the family: Transfer RNA (tRNA) molecules are approximately 80 nucleotides in length. Their secondary structure includes four short double-helical elements and three loops (D, anti-codon, and T loops). Lineage: Eukaryota; Metazoa; Chordata; Amphibia; Anura; Aromobatidae. The record is from RNAcentral.
UAGAAUAAAGCUCGCUGGAUAGAGUGUUUAGCUGUUAAUUAAAAUGUUAUGGGAUCAAGGCCCAUUGUUCUAG